GGUAUACUAGUACUUAAAUGGAACGUUUUAGAUAGCUAGUAAUACUGUGUCUUUGGCUCUUGCCAGGAUGUUAUUAUUGGUGCCUUUAUUUCUCUUUUUAUUGGCCAAUCCGUGGGGGGAAAGGUAGUUAUGGAAAUAUACAGAAACAAUUUCUUCUUCUCUUAAUUCUUUCUUCUACCUCUCUCUCUCUUGCUUUCAUCUUUCUUCUUCCUGGAAUUUUUCCUUCAAACCUUCAUUUCUCACCAAACGUAUCAAAGCCAGAUGAUUCUCAUGGCCAAUGACGGAGUCAUGACAUGACUGCAAAAGGAAUUGGGGCUUCUGUAACACGAGCUUUCCCAGAUUGACAACAAGCUCGAUACUAAACUGGAAAUGAAGUUGGACUCUCGUUUCAAGGUUCAUGAGGAUUUUAAUGGGGAAAUACGAUGGGAAAUUAGAGCUGAGAUGCAUUCAUUUUUUGAGCAGUAUUUUGGACUACCUUCAACCACUGUUCAUGGAGGGGUUUCAGAUAGGGGUAAGGGACUUUUGGGAACACUGUCACCAGGAUUUCCACCCAAGGAUAACCUAGUUAUGUCACCAGUUAUAGAUCUCGGACACACGGGUACUUACUUUCUAGCAAGCUUAGGGGAUCUUUUAGGAAAAGGGUUCCAGCUUACUUGGCCUCGAUUUGAUGGAACAGACUUUCGGGUAUGGUCCAAGCUUAAGUAGUUUUUCAAAGCUAAAAACGUGGAAGAUUCAACUAAGGUUCGAAUCGUGAUGUUGUAUUUAGAGGGAAAGGCCCUGGAGUGGCACCAUUUCUUUUUUCAACAACAUGGUGGCUUUCAACAAUUGACUUGGGAGGCUUAUGCGCGAGCCUUGCAGGAGAGAUUCGUAUCUCGUAGGCACUUAGACCCUAUGACUGAGUUGGUGGCUCUUAAACUGGUACGGUCAACCAAUAUUAUGACCAGUUUGUGAGCCUUUUGAAUCAACUACGUUUUCCUGAGAUUUAUGGCUCGAGUAUUUUUGUGCAUAAUCUCAAACCCUAUAUUGGUCAGUAUUUACGAUUAUUCAAGCUAACCCCCUUGAUAGAGGCCUUCACUAGUGCUAUUGAAGUGGAGGAUAUAGUCGGUCCUGUUACUAAGAAAAAUACUCGUAUAGGAGGGAACUUUAGCUCCCCCAAGCCUUUAUUGCCUCUAGUUAAAGGAUACAACUCACACACUAUACCAGGAGUUCAUUCUUCCAACAAUUCUCAUACAAAAACUCUAGUUAAAGCUCUUUCAUAUAUUGAGAUGGAAGACAGAAGAAAAAAGGGACUAUGUUUUUGGUAUCCCUCCAAAUACACACUAGGGCAUAAAUGUACCAAGUCUUAAAUUUAUCAAUUGGUGAUUGAAGCCUCGGUUGAGCUGGAUAAUAAACUUAAGAGCCUUACUUCUGAUAAGUUUCAAGAUUGCCCUGAGAAGUUAGAAGUGACUGAAGUUGAAGUUGAGUUAGUAACUUCUGUUCUGUCUUUGCAUGCCCUUAGUGGUUCUCAGGGUCACAACACAAUGCGACUAGCAGCUCGAAUUGGUUAAUGUGAGGCCAUUAUUUUGGUAGAUUCAGGCAGUACUCACAAUUUUGUGGACUGCAAGCUAGUGAAGCAACUACAUCUACCUGUGGAUUCUUCUUGUAAGCUUAUAGUGAUGGUUGCUAAUUGUGUGCAAUUAGCUACUUAGGGGGUCAGUCGUUUGGUGAAAUGGGAUGCGCAAGGGUGUUAAAUAUCCACUGAUUUUAUGGUGCUUCCAGUAAAAGGUUGUGAUUUAGUUCUUGGUGUCCAAUGGCUCUUUUCACUAGGGUCAAUUAUCUGGAAUUUCUCUUCUCUUACAAUGCAAUUCGAGUAUUUAGGGACGUCCUGUACUCUCCAAGGUAUUCUUCCUGAGAGUCUACAUGUUUCUUCUGGUGCUCAAAUUUCUAAAUACUUCAGUGUGAUGGGACAGGGCCCCACUCUCAUGUUGUUGACUAGUUCUAUCCAAACCACUCUGACCUUACCAUCACAGACUGUGCACAAAGAUGUUGAAUUGCUCUUAAAUGAAUUUGAGGAUCCUAAAGGCCUUCCUCCUGUCAGAUUACAGGACCACAAGAUACCCGUUCAAGAUGAGACUUAAGUGGUCAAGGUCCAUCCAUAUAGGUACCCUGCUGUUUAAAAGAAUGAAAUUGAAAAGCUUAUCAAGGAAAUUAUUGAUACUGGGAUUAUAAGGGAAAAUAACAGUCCCUUUGCAUCACCAAUUGUUAUGGUGAAAAAGAAAGAUGGCAGCAGGUGAUUAUGUGUGGAUUAUAGGCAGCUUAACCAGCUAACUAUCAAGGACAAAUUCUCUAUUCUUGUGAUCAAGGAACUGUUGGAUGAGUUGGGAUAAGCGACCUAUUUCUCCAAACUGGAUUUCAGGUCCCGGUACCACCAGAUUCGAAUGUGGGAGGGUGACAUACAUAAAACAACCUUUAGGAUUCAUGAGGGACACUGUGAAUUCCUGGUCAUACCAUUUGGCGUGACCAAUGCACCCUCUAGUUUUCAAUCAUUAAAGAACAGUGUCUUCAAACAACUGCUAAGGAAGACAAUGUUAUUUUUUUGAUACAUCCUAGUGUAUUCUGCUAGCUGGUAAAAACAUUUGACUCAUCUAUGUGAGGUCUUAAAUAUUCUAAGAUAUCACCAAUUGUAUGCCAACAAGGGAAAAUGUAGUUUUGGCACUACAGAAGUGGAAUAUCUGGGGCAUAUUAUAUCUCAAUGAUCUGUUUCAAUGGACCCCUCGAAAGUUGAUGGGGUUUUUCAUUGGCUUACCCCUGUUUUGAUAAAGAGUUGCAAGGUUUUCUAAAGCUCUCGGUUCUUUACAGAAGGUUCAUUCGACACUAUGGAACAAUUGUCAAGACCUUAACAGCAUUGUUAAAAAAAGAGACACCUUGGAGUUCGUUUGACAAAGAACAGACAGCCUUUAAUCAACUCAAGGCAGCAAUGACUCAAGCACUUGUGUUGGUUCUUCCUAAUUUCAGAUAUUAGUUUUGUGUAGAGACUGAUGCUUGUAGUCACGGUAUAGGGGCAGUCUUGUAACAAAAAAAGAGAACUGUUGCUUUCUUCAGCAAAGGGUUGGGAGUCAAACAUCAGUCCUUGUCCAUGUAUGACAAGGAAAUGCUCAUAGUAUUACUGGUUGUUAAAAAACGACAUCCAUAUUUAGUAAGCAGACAUUUCAGCAUCAAAGCUGACCACUAGAGCCUGCGGUUCCUUUCUAACAGACAAGCUUUUACACCUUAUCAACAGAAAUGCGUUGGAAAGAUGCUUGGGUAUGAUUAUUCUAUCAUUUAUAGAAAAGGAAGCCAAAAUAUAGUAGCUGAUGCAUUGUCUCAAAUGGAUUAUGUAUAAGAAGGGCAACUGUUCCAAUGCAAGGGAAAUAUUUCCUGGUCUGACGUAUGUGAACAAAUAUUGAAUUCUUGUGGCACUAAUCCUAUUUUGCAGCAGAUUUGCUUAGAUUUACAAAAGGACCCUCAUCUGUAUUCGAAAUACUCAUGGCAUGGCAGAGUGUUAAGAAGGAAAGGAAAUGUAGUAGUUGGUCAGGAUCCAAAAUUGAGGAAGAAACUUUUUGACUUGUUUCACAGUGGGGCUAUUGGUGGACAUUCAGGAGUGCAAGCAACCAGACAUAGGAUCUCAGGGCUUGUCUAUUGGAAAUGUCUUUCCAAAGAUGUGAAGAGAUGGGUCAAAGAAUGUGUUACUUGUCAAAGAUGUAAAUAUGACAAUUCAGCAUACCCAAGUCUACUUCAACCCUUGCCAGUGCCUGAUCGUGAUUGGGCAGCUGUAAGCUUAAAUUUUGUGGAAGGUUUGCCAUCAUCGAAAGUGAAGGAUACUGUUCUUGUGGUAGUUGAUAGGCUUAUUAAAUAUGGCCAUUUCUUGGCCUUAUCCUUACUGCACUCAUCGUGGCUUAGCAGUAUUUAGAGCACAUCUAUAAAUUACAUGGAGUUCCAGAAUGCAUCAUCUCUAAUUGAGACAAGAUGUUUAUCAGUUCAUUUUGGCAAAGAUCUAUUUAAACAUUUGGGGGUUAAGCUUCACUUAUCCACUACUUACCACCCCCAAACUGAUGGUCAGACUAAAAUGCUCAAUCGAUGCUUAAAAGGGUAUUUGAUAUGCAUGGCUGGGGAGAGACCUUUUGAUUGGGCACUAUGGCUUCCCUUGGUUGAGUGGUGCUAUAAUACCACUUAUCACUCAACCAUACGAACUACUCCUUAUGAGGCUCUAUAUGGUCAAUAACCUCUACACCAUUUACCUUAUUUGGCAGGGGCCUCCCAAUUGCUGUAGUAGACAUGAACCUCCAGUAGAGAGAAGCAGCUCGACAUAUGCUGGAGUUUUAUCUCAAAAGGGCUCAAGAUAGAAUGAAACACAUGACUGAUAAAAAGAGAUCGGAGAUGGAAGUUCAAGUGGGGGACUUGGUCUACCUUAAGCUUCAACUAUACAGGCAACAUUCCAUUAGGAAACAAGUUUGAAUUGUUGACAGAAAAAUGGUUAAAUGAGGUAAUCAAGCAGACACAAAGGUGUUAGUUGAAUGGGCAAAUACUUUCCUAGAAGACUCGAUGUGGGAGAGGUUUUUUGAGUUUCAAAAGUAGUAUCCACUAUUCAAUCCUUGAGGACAAGGACCGUGUUCGAGAGGGGAGUACUUGAUAUGGGAUAAUUUUUCUCAAUAGUCAAAAAACGGUUUGCUAAUUGUAAUUCUGUUAAAUUUAGUUAUCGUAAUGAAAUAGUGUGUUUUGGGGGUAUGGAUUAAUGAAAAUGGUGUGUGUAAGGGGGGUAUACUAGUACUUAAAUAGAGCGUUUUAGAUAGUUAGUAAUACGGUGCGUUUGGAUCUUACUAGGAUGCUAUUAUUGGUGCUGUUAUUUCUCUUUUUAUUGGGCAAUCCGUGGGAGGAAAGGCAGUUAUGGAAAUAUACAAAAACAAUUUCUUCUUCUCUUAAUUCUUUCUUCUCUCUCUCUCUUGCUUUCAUCUUUCUUCUUGGAAUUUUUCCUUCAAACCUUCAUUCCUCACCAUCUUCUUGCUGAUUUCUGUACUUCUUUGCUCUUUACAGAUUUCAUUAUUUAGCCAAUUGUGGUAAACUGUGAGUUUAAUGGCGUGCGAGAGCUUAGAUUGUUUUUCGGUGAAUAAAAUAAGAUAGUUUACGAUUGUAAAUUUUUUAGACUUUGUUUUUUGGUUUUUGUUUUGUUUGUUUAAGUAUUUUAACAUAAAAUUGCAAAACCACACAGGUUAACAAUUUAAAA
Molecule: long non-coding RNA, 5239 nt
Organism: Gossypium arboreum
Lineage: Eukaryota; Viridiplantae; Streptophyta; Magnoliopsida; Malvales; Malvaceae
Exons: 3
Source: RefSeq, a predicted model, not a curated record